This 161-nucleotide ribosomal RNA is filed under the name Callicarpa rubella. Its description in RNAcentral is "5.8S ribosomal RNA". It matches the Rfam family "5.8S ribosomal RNA". From Rfam's summary of the family: 5.8S ribosomal RNA (5.8S rRNA) is a component of the large subunit of the eukaryotic ribosome. It is transcribed by RNA polymerase I as part of the 45S precursor that also contains 18S and 28S rRNA. Lineage: Eukaryota; Viridiplantae; Streptophyta; Magnoliopsida; Lamiales; Lamiaceae. The record is from RNAcentral. RNAcentral also lists the same sequence under 1 other name.
CAAAACGACUCUCGGCAACGGAUAUCUCGGCUCUUGCAUCGAUGAAGAACGCAGCGAAAUGCGAUACUUGGUGUGAAUUGCAGAAUCCCGUGAACCAUCGAGUCUUUGAACGCAAGUUGCGCCCGAAGCCAUUAGGCCGAGGGCACGUCUGCCUGGGCGUC